Molecule: long non-coding RNA, 2485 nt
Organism: Folsomia candida
Lineage: Eukaryota; Metazoa; Arthropoda; Collembola; Entomobryomorpha; Isotomidae
Exons: 3
Source: RefSeq, a predicted model, not a curated record
GUGCACUUAAUAUUUAAAUCAAGCCAGAAAUAGUGACGAAUCGUAUUAAGCUUGAUAAAUUAAUGUGCUGUUGUUGUAUAGUUCAAUAAGCUUCUUCAGCAGCUUUUCAAUCUUCGGCUCAUCCUUUUGCAUAUCGGCCACCACCAAAUAAUAAGUAAUGACAGCCAUCAAUAUCUGGAAGUACGUAAGUUAUCAAAACAGAAUUAACCAGUGACAUUUAAUUUCAUCAAGUGAAGUUGGAUCAUACCGUUUGAAUUGUGCGAUAAGUCACAUAAAAGUAAUCCAUGCCUUUCAGGCGGAUGCAGUUUUCGGACACGGUAAUCAACUCAAGGGCCAAAUCUUCCCCUUCCGCGUAGGUGGCUCUGUCCGACUUAAUUCUUUCCCACAAGUUGUCAGCCUUUUCAAAUUAAAUUUAUGUAAACUAAAUAGUUAAUUUCCCCUAAUGCUAAUUUUUCUCACAUUUGCUGCGGCUUCAGCAGCCAGAAGAAUGUGACCCAGCUUCAUUGUCAUGAUACAGCAAUCUAGCCAUGGUAUGUCUUCCAAGUUUUUUGCAUUGCUAAACCGAUCGAGUACUAGCACCCCGUAAGGGACCAUUUGGAUGACGCUGGCCAUUAACAACGGCCCGAUGGCAGAGUUGACAUCAUGCAUAUGGGCUUUGACGCUCCGGAAGAUUUCAUUUUUCUGAAAACAAGUUUAGUUUUUACUCGAGGAUCUUAUAAUUGUAACGAAAUAUUGCCAACCUUCUUCACAUCCAGGGGCACAUCGUUGUUGAAAAGCAUUGCUCGGAGAGUCCUCUCCAUCGAGUAGCAUGACCCUGACGUUCCCCACAGGGUUAAAUCAAUGUGGAACAGUUGCAAUAUUGCCACAACCCUCAUUCCCAUCAUUGCAACACUAACUGCUGGGAAACAAAUCUCAGACUCCCGACAGUCUUCAGGUGUUAGGUGUUUGAAAUAUUCUGUGAGUUCCUGAAUCAAACGUGCUUCCCCUUCGUGAUACAGAGUACAAAUCCAUUCACUCCAGUUGACGAAAGAAGAAAAGCCCAGUCCAACAAAAAAUGUCAAAAACAUGAACUGUAAGAAACAGAUUAUCAUGCAGUUUUAUGAUUUUUAAAGUGAAGAACAUAGGUAUUUAUUUUAUGAAGACAAAAAACAUUGAUAAAAUAUAGUUCAAACUAGCACUCAAAAUAAUUUUUCAAAUAAUCGUAAUGUCCAUUCAACAUGAUUUUUGCCGUGGUAGAUGGAGGUAUCGGGGCAUAACCGAGGUCAUAAUUUACGAACUGCUUAAUAAUCUUCGAAAGUAUGAAGUCAUAAUCAAAAAAUGCUGACGUAAUAUAGAUUUACCUACAAUGUGCUACAAUUCCAGACUUUGUGUAUAAAUUAUUAUAUGGGAGUAUAUCUAAUAGGGAGACGCGAAAAUGCACACAUUCUAGAAAGAGCAAAAAUGUGGGUCUGCUUAUUUUCGUGAGAGAACAAUUUAAAAUUUGCCCACCGAAAAUCUAAGAUAAAUACCUCAUCAUUUGUAUUGUAAGCAUUACGAAACAAAACAAAUUUAUAUUGCAUAUACAUUUUCUUCAUAUUUUAUCAAUGUGCUUGUGUUACUCUCCAUAUGAGGGGUUGUUAAGUGGCACUGAAAAUUUGCGGAAAUUCCAAGUUUUACAACCUUAUUGUUUCUUUCGGUACAAUUAUUACGCAUAAAUAAAGCCAUAUACUGUUAAUAAUGUACAUCCGCUACUUUAGAUUUAUAAAUUACUUGCAUAGUGGAAAUUUGCUUGGAUUGGUUUCUAGUGGGAGUUUGUCGAGUUAUCAUGAGUCCUAUUAUUAUUUCCUUAUUACUUCUGGGUUUGUUUUCAGCAUCGGGAGCUUUCAAGCUAUUUCCAACCCCUCGUUGCGAGAACAACAAUAUGACUGGGUGUAUGAGAAUCAACGGAAUUAGUUAUCGUUAUGACCAAUCUACAGAAAAAUGCGAAACAAUAAAAAUAAAAUGGGGGACUUGCGAGGAUAGAAAUUUCUGGCCAAUCAAGGAGGUUGAUGAGUGCAUCAAAGAAUGUGAAGGGGCAAAGGCUUUCGAUACAUUCCAGACAAAAAGAGCCAGGAAAGGCGGAAUACAGAAAUUAUGAUGAACGAUCUUGUUAAAUGACUACCUAAAUUAAAUUAAAUUGGACUGAUGCUUGCUUGGGUGACAGGAUACUAUGAAGAAUACAUCAAACGCAGAUUAUUUGCUGCUCAUCAUAAAAAUUUUCAGUCCUAGAAACUGCAUUAGUUUGUAAUCAUUCGUGCAUAUAUUUUCAGUUAUGAAAAUAAACAAACUGGAAUCUAUAGAUGAGGUUAUGAGUCAAGUUUUUAGCAAUGCUUUUUGAAUUUAUUUUUUGGGGGUUUUGUUCAACUAUUACAUUUUAAAGAGAGAAGGAUUUUGAAAAUUACAAGUGUUUUUCAUUAGCUAUUGAUGAGCUGAAAUUUAGUCAUUGUACCCAGUUGCUCAAUGCAGA